Molecule: small nuclear RNA, 274 nt
Filed under: Ochotona princeps (American pika)
Lineage: Eukaryota; Metazoa; Chordata; Mammalia; Lagomorpha; Ochotonidae
Description: 7SK RNA (ENSOPRG00000019487.1)
Rfam family: 7SK RNA
About the family: 7SK was discovered as an abundant small nuclear RNA in the mid-70s but a possible function has only recently been suggested. Two independent studies have found that 7SK RNA binds the CDK9/cyclin T complex (known as elongation factor P-TEFb).
Source: RNAcentral
GGAUGUUAGGGAGAUCUGGCUGCGACAUCUGUCACCCCAUUGAUCGCCAGGGUUGAUUCGGCUGAUCUGGAUGGCUAGGCAAGUGUCCCCUUCCUCCCUCACCGCUCCAUGUGCAUCCCACCUGAAGCUGCGCUCUCCAUCAGAGAGGAUGACCAUCCCCACUAGAGGAGGGCUGGUCUUUGGUCAAGGGUAUGAGUAGCUGCACUCCCCUGCUAGAACCUCCAAACAAGCUGUCAAGGAUGCUAAGAACAACAGAAGGAAAGAAAAGCAGAGC